RNAcentral lists this ribosomal RNA (891 nucleotides) under uncultured Acidobacteriota bacterium. Its description in RNAcentral is "bacterial SSU rRNA". It matches the Rfam family "Bacterial small subunit ribosomal RNA", at positions 58 to 948 of the family's 1533-position model. Lineage: Bacteria; Pseudomonadati; Acidobacteriota. The record is from RNAcentral.
CAAGUCGAGCGAGGCGCGGUAGCAAUACCGCAGUCGAGCGGCGAACGGGUGAGUAACGCGUGGAUAACCUGCCCUUCAGCGGGGAAUAACCCGGGGAAACUCGGGCUAAUACCGCAUACGAUCGAGAGAUGAAAGGGGCCCGCAAGGGUCUCACUGAAGGAGGGGUCCGCGUCCGAUUAGCUAGUUGGUGGGGUAAUGGCCUACCAAGGCAACGAUCGGUAGCCGGCCUGAGAGGGUGAUCGGCCACACUGGAACUGAGACACGGUCCAGACUCCUACGGGAGGCAGCAGUGGGGAAUUUUGCGCAAUGGGCGGAAGCCUGACGCAGCAACGCCGCGUGGAGGAUGAAGGUCCUUGGAUUGUAAACUCCUGUCAGCAGGGAAAAAGCGACCGUACCUCAUACGUACGGGAGUUGAUUGUACCUGCAGAGGAAGCCCCGGCUAACUCUGUGCCAGCAGCCGCGGUAAUACAGAGGGGGCAAGCGUUAUUCGGAAUUAUUGGGCGUAAAGGGCGCGUAGGCGGCUUUGCAAGUGACGGGUGAAAUCCCUCGGCUUAACCGAGGAACUGCCUGUCAGACUGCAUGGCUUGAGACCGGGAGAGGUGAGUGGAAUUCCCAGUGUAGCGGUGAAAUGCGUAGAUAUUGGGAGGAACACCAGUGGCGAAGGCGGCUCACUGGACCGGUACUGACGCUGAGGCGCGAAAGCGUGGGGAGCAAACAGGAUUAGAUACCCUGGUAGUCCACGCCGUAAACGAUGAGUGCUUGGUGUAGCGGGUAUCGACCCCUGCUGUGCCGAAGUCAACACAUUAAGCACUCCGCCUGGGGAGUACGGUCGCAAGACUGAAACUCAAAGGAAUUGACGGGGCCCGCACAAGCGGUGGAGCAUGUGGUUUA